GACGACCGCUGGCGGCGCGCUUAACACCUGCAAGUCGAACGGAAAGGCCCUGUUUAUGUCGGGUUCUCGAGUGGCGUACGGGUGAGUACCACGUGCAUACUCUGCCCUUGUCUUUGGGAUAUCUUCAUGAAACUGGGGCUAAUACCGGCUAGGAGCUCCUGCUGCACGGAGGGGGUUGGACCGUUUCGGCGCUUGGGGAUGGCCUCCCGGCUUAUCAGCUUGUCGGUGGGGUAGUGGCUUACCAAGGCGUUGACGGGUAGCCGGCCUGAGCUGGUGACCGGCCACAUUGGGAGUGAGGGACGGCCCAGACUCCUACGGGAGGAAGCAGUGAGGAAUAUUGCACAAUGGGCGGAAGCCUGAUGCAGCAACGCCGCGUGCGGGAUGACGGCCAUCGGGUUGUAAACCGCGUGCGCCUGUGACGAAGCGUGAGUGACGGUAAUGGGUAAAGAAGCACCGGCUAACUACGUG
RNAcentral lists this ribosomal RNA (468 nucleotides) under uncultured bacterium. Its description in RNAcentral is "partial 16S ribosomal RNA". It matches the Rfam family "Bacterial small subunit ribosomal RNA", at positions 28 to 507 of the family's 1533-position model. The record is from RNAcentral.